AGCGAGGUUACGGAAGCCGAAAGGAUUGGGCCAAGCUUCUCUGGAGCUAAGUGACGACUGCGGCUUUGAGGCCCUGGAGAUAUAAAGAUAAACAGAACAAAACGAAACAAAAAAAAAAACCUGGUUCUUGCCUGGCACACAGUUCAGUGGAGGAGUAGACAUAAGAAGAAACAAAUACGGCACAGUGUAUUUUUUCUGGACUUCAACCUGAAACUGCUAUCAGAUAUCUUGCCACUUCGAAUAAAGUCUACACAUAAGAGAACAGAGCUGAGAGAUGGAAAGAUGCUG
This is a long non-coding RNA of Mesoplodon densirostris (Blainville's beaked whale), 288 nucleotides long. RefSeq lists it as uncharacterized. The transcript has 3 exons. NCBI's taxonomy places the organism in Eukaryota, Metazoa, Chordata, Mammalia, Artiodactyla, Ziphiidae. The record is from RefSeq and is a predicted model, not a curated record.